Molecule: ribosomal RNA, 467 nt
Filed under: uncultured bacterium
Lineage: Bacteria
Description: partial 16S ribosomal RNA
Rfam family: Bacterial small subunit ribosomal RNA
Source: RNAcentral
GACGAACGCUGGCGGCGUGCUUAACACAUGCAAGUCGAACGGAAAGGCCUCUUUCGGGGGGUACUCGAGUGGCGAACGGGUGAGUAACACGUGAGUAACCUGCCCUUGUCUUUGGGAUAACUUCAGGAAACUGGGGCUAAUACCGGAUAGGAGCUCCUGCUGCAUGGUGGGGGUUGGAAAGUUUCGGCGGUUGGGGAUGGACUCGCGGCUUAUCAGCUUGUUGGUGGGGUAGUGGCUUACCAAGGCUUUGACGGGUAGCCGGCCUGAGAGGGUGACCGGCCACAUUGGGACUGAGAUACGGCCCAGACUCCUACGGGAGGCAGCGGUGGGGAAUAUUGCACAAUGGGUGGAAGCCUGAUGCAGCAACGCCGUGUGCGGGAUGACGGCCUUCGGGUUGUAAACCGCUUUCGCUCAUGACGAAGCUUUGUGUGACGGUAGUGGGUAAAGAAGCACCGGCUAACUACGUG